This 839-nucleotide ribosomal RNA is filed under the name Cobetia sp. QDHT26. RNAcentral describes it as "bacterial SSU rRNA". It matches the Rfam family "Bacterial small subunit ribosomal RNA", at positions 372 to 1204 of the family's 1533-position model. The record is from RNAcentral. Lineage: Bacteria; Pseudomonadati; Pseudomonadota; Gammaproteobacteria; Oceanospirillales; Halomonadaceae.
UGGGCGAAGCCUGAUCCAGCCAUGCCGCGUGUGUGAAGAAGGCCUUCGGGUUGUAAAGCACUUUCAGCGAGGAAGAACGCCUUGGGAUUAAUACUCCCGAGGAAAGACAUCACUCGCAGAAGAAGCACCGGCUAACUCCGUGCCAGCAGCCGCGGUAAUACGGAGGGUGCAAGCGUUAAUCGGAAUUACUGGGCGUAAAGCGCGCGUAGGUGGCUAAGUCAGCCAGGUGUGAAAGCCCCGGGCUCAACCUGGGAACGGCAUCUGGAACUGCUUGGCUAGAGUGCAGGAGAGGAAGGUAGAAUUCCCGGUGUAGCGGUGAAAUGCGUAGAGAUCGGGAGGAAUACCAGUGGCGAAGGCGGCCUUCUGGACUGACACUGACACUGAGGUGCGAAAGCGUGGGUAGCAAACAGGAUUAGAUACCCUGGUAGUCCACGCCGUAAACGAUGUCAACUAGCCGUUGGGUCCCUUGAGGACUUAGUGGCGCAGCUAACGCAAUAAGUUGACCGCCUGGGGAGUACGGCCGCAAGGUUAAAACUCAAAUGAAUUGACGGGGGCCCGCACAAGCGGUGGAGCAUGUGGUUUAAUUCGAUGCAACGCGAAGAACCUUACCUACCCUUGACAUCCAGAGGACUUUCCAGAGAUGGAUUGGUGCCUUCGGGAACUCUGAGACAGGUGCUGCAUGGCUGUCGUCAGCUCGUGUUGUGAAAUGUUGGGUUAACUCCCCCAACGAGCGCAACCCCUAUCCUUAUUUGCCAGCGAGUAAUGUCGGGAACUCUAAGGAGACUGCCGGUGACAAACCGGAAGGAAGGUGGGGACGACUCCAGUCAUCAUGGCUCUUA